This 73-nucleotide transfer RNA is filed under the name Camelus bactrianus (Bactrian camel). It matches the Rfam family "tRNA". From Rfam's summary of the family: Transfer RNA (tRNA) molecules are approximately 80 nucleotides in length. Their secondary structure includes four short double-helical elements and three loops (D, anti-codon, and T loops). Further hydrogen bonds mediate the characteristic L-shaped molecular structure. tRNAs have two regions of fundamental functional importance: the anti-codon, which is responsible for specific mRNA codon recognition, and the 3' end, to which the tRNAs corresponding amino acid is attached (by aminoacyl-tRNA synthetases). tRNAs cope with the degeneracy of the genetic code in two manners: having more than one tRNA (with a specific anti-codon) for a particular amino acid; and 'wobble' base-pairing, i.e. permitting non-standard base-pairing at the 3rd anti-codon position. The record is from Rfam by way of RNAcentral. Lineage: Eukaryota; Metazoa; Chordata; Mammalia; Artiodactyla; Camelidae. RNAcentral also lists the same sequence under 2 other names.
GAGGAUAUAGCUCAAGUGGCAGAGUGCAUGCUUAGCAUGCGUGAGGUCCUGGGUUCAAUCCCCAGUGCGUUCU